Molecule: ribosomal RNA, 279 nt
Filed under: uncultured bacterium
Lineage: Bacteria
Description: partial 16S ribosomal RNA
Rfam family: Bacterial small subunit ribosomal RNA
Source: RNAcentral
UGCCAGCAGCCGCGGUAAUACGGAGGGGGCUAGCGUUGUUCGGAAUUAUUGGGCGUAAAGCGCGUGUAGGCGGUUCGUUAAGUCUGAUGUGAAAGCCCGGGGCUCAACCCCGGAAGUGCAUUGGAAACUGGCGAACUUGAGUACGGGAGAGGAAAGUGGAAUUCCGAGUGUAGGGGUGAAGUGCGUAGAGAUCUGAAGGAACAUCAGUGGCGAAGGCGACUACCUGGACUGAUAUUGACGCUGAGGUGCGAAAGCGUGGGGAGCAAACAGGAUUAGAUA